Motacilla alba alba is the source of this 1169-nucleotide long non-coding RNA. RefSeq lists it as uncharacterized. The transcript is spliced from 2 exons. The record is from RefSeq and is a predicted model, not a curated record. NCBI's taxonomy places the organism in Eukaryota, Metazoa, Chordata, Aves, Passeriformes, Motacillidae.
ACCACCUUAAUUAAUAAAUUGAUUGCUGCUUGAAUAUUGGCCUAGUCAAACUUCUUAUUUAUAACAGAUUUGGUGCGUUGGCCGGGAAAAUUUCCAAAUCCAUUGAGGGAGACUCCUGAUCUCAGGGAGGCGCCCCACCUUGCAGGCUUUUGCCUCAGGUGGCCCUGAGUGACUGGGGAAUCUUUCAGGGAAGAGGAAAUUUCUAAGGUAAAUUAUGAGCAAAAGAAUUUUGAGCUCCCGGAGUAGACUGCAGUAAGUUCACCUGUAAUAACUCGUGCACGAAGACCCAGGCGAGAAAAGGAGGCUAAGUCCUUUCCAAGCACUACUGAAACAGCAGUCUGAACCAUGAAAAGAGAGUGAAUUUAUGCCAACAAAAUCAAAGAACUUGUGAAGAAACCUGAAGAAUAGACUAUCACAUUUAAACUGGGUGAUACCGAAUUGACUUUCAAACCGGGAUUGAGUAGUAAUAGUUUAAGAAAACCCAAUGAUCCAAGAAAUGUACAAAGAAUAACACUUAAUUAAGAAAUAAGGAAAAGCUUACAUCACUGGUUUACUUUUUUUUUGAUUCAUCCUGAUACUGGACAUGGUACCUAGGUUGUAAGUAAAUGUGUGAAUUGUGGGAAUAAUUAGUAUUGUGGUUCACAAAAUUUAUACUCUUAUUGCAAGAAGUGUUAAAGUAAUAACUUUGUUUUGUGGAUGGGAAUUAUUAGUAUCGGUUGAAUGAGAAGUACCUGAGGAACAGGUGAGAAACCAUAAUUAAGAAUUUGUCUGGAAAUUAGCUGAGAGAAAGUGAGAAGGAAAUAGAGGGCAAGACCAGAUUGGCCUCUGUAUUUCGCCACCAAGAAGAUCAAAUACACCUGCUGUGGAUUGCAACUCCACAGGCGUGGGAGGUGGGAAUAUAAGCCAUACUGGACCUCUGUUAUUCCUGUUUCUGUCACUCAUUUGUUGUUUUUUCCCUUUCGGGAUACCAGCAAGAUCAUGUCACAAAUGCUACAGAAAGCAUCAUAUAGAAAGAAACCAAAGUUCCUCUUUUAUUACACACACCCAUGUCAACAGCCACUGUUAUAACCCAUCCUAAUUAAGAACCUAUAGGUAAAAUGGAGAAAAUUAUUAGAUUGCAAGAAACUUAAGAAAAUUUAGUAAUAGACAAGGAAUUGAGUGUCCAAAAG